CCUGUGACAUCACGCUCCCUCCACUUAUCUUACAUGUCACAUCUCAAACAUUUAACAUUUUACAUCUCAAACAUUUCUUGAGGCCCUUACCCUCCCAUUCCCCCAAAUCAAUACGGCACUUAGGGGACACCAAGGCGCAGAGACACUUGCCCCAAAUCAUGCAGUAAUGCCCUGGUGCCACCGUGAACAGUGCUGAAGCUUCCUGACCCCUUGUCCAGGGGACCUGGCUGCCUUUUAUAGAAAGUUUCCACACACCUUCUAUUCCUAACCUCGAUCACAAGCAUCGCCGGCCCAGAUGCUCUGUGUCACCGGCUUAGUAACAUACCCCAUUUAGGAGCAUGAGCACAACUUGUUUGCAGUGGGAAUGAAUUAACUGAAUUCUAGAUAUUGUUUUUUGGCUGCCUUUUUUUGUUUGUUUUUAUUUCAAACACAGCUAACUAAUCAGGGCUGUGGACACCAAGAAUGCCAACUUUGAUUCUUCAAGGAAAAUCAGCAGCUGACCACACACCACCCUUCCUGGUCCUCCCCGAGAUGCCAAGAACAUCCAAAGUCUGCAGUUUUGAGCCAAAGAGCCCGAUGGAAAAACACCAAGAGACAAAAACAAAAACAAAAUCAGGAAACUGAAGCUGAUCUGACACCACUUCCUUUUUCUCCAGAUGUUACCCUUCGGAUGCAUACCUCAAUCUGCCUGAAAAUCAUGGAAUUCUGGAGAUGGAAGGGACCUCAGAGAUUUUCUGGUUCUCUCUGUUCUGGUGGUGGUAUGAUUUCCAGGCCCCUGCAGCUUCCUGGCCACCCUCCUCUGGCUACACUUAAUGCCUCUUUGAAAACCUGGUACCCAGAACUGAAUGGUGGACUGCGCUCAGCUUCUCCUUCCAGGUCCCGCCCUGAGGCACCCGGCUUAACCCCCAAGUCAAACGCUGCACAGAGCAGGCCUGCUGCCUGCCCACUCUGGCUACCAGGCCAAAGGCCCAGGU
Molecule: long non-coding RNA, 974 nt
Filed under: Homo sapiens (human)
Lineage: Eukaryota; Metazoa; Chordata; Mammalia; Primates; Hominidae
Description: long non-coding RNA NONHSAT169346.1
Source: RNAcentral